RNAcentral lists this ribosomal RNA (497 nucleotides) under uncultured bacterium. RNAcentral describes it as "partial 16S ribosomal RNA". It matches the Rfam family "Bacterial small subunit ribosomal RNA", at positions 28 to 507 of the family's 1533-position model. The record is from RNAcentral.
GAUGAACGCUGGCGGCGUGCCUAAUACAUGCAAGUCGAGCGAACAGACGAGGAGCUUGCUCCUCUGACGUUUGCGGCGGACGGGAGAUUAACACGUGGAUAACCUACCUAUAAGACUGGGAUAACUUCGGGAAACCGGAUCUAAUACCGGAUUAUAUAUUUAACCGCAUGGUUCAAUAGUGAAAGACGGUUUUGCUGUCACUUAUCGAUGUGUCCGGGCCGCAUUAGCUAGUUGGUAAGGUAGCGGCUUACCAAGGCAACGAUGCGGAGCCGACCUGAGAGGGUGAGCGGCCACACUGGAACUGAGACACGGUCCAGGCUCCUACGGGAGGCAGCAGUAGGGAAUCUGCCGCAAUGGGCGAAAGCCUGACGGAGCAGCGCCGCGUGAGUGAUGAAGGUCUUCGGAUCGUAAAACUCUGUUAUUAGGGAAGAACAAAUGUGUAAGUAACUAUGCACGUCAUGACGGUACCUAAUCAGAAAGCCACGGCUAACUACGUG